UGGGACAGAGCUGCUGUCUAGCUUGGACCGAAUCUCCACUACAGCUGCAGUUCUUCAAGCGCGCCCAUGCAAGCAAGAAUCUGGGACUGUGGAAAAUGAUUGCUGAAUGUGCUUUUGGCAGAUUGAAAUCCCACCGGAGAUGUUUACAGACACAUCUGGAUGACAGUGUCAUUAAUGCUGUCUGCAUUACUGAACCUUGCUGAGCUCUUGACAAUCUUUGUGAAGCCAGAGAAAUCCAGUUAGCUGGCCUUGCACCAGAAAAGAAGGCUAUGCUCCCAGGACUGGGAAGCAGCAAACUUAGGAAAAGGCUUGUUCUUGUCAGUCUCUAAUGCAAAUAUGGAAGGCUCUCUGCUACUCUGUUUGCAGUUCGGUGGUGAGAAGACAAUGGAAGGUUAACGCUGAAUGACUGCUACACUAAAACAAGGAACUUGCAUCUGUUUUCUCGGGAGUCAGUUGGAGAUUCUUUGAAUAGUGAAGGCAAAUAAAGUUGACUCAUGGGAUUGUUGGACUCCCAGGACCUGAGUCAGGAGGGAUGCAUCAACAUUACAAAGGAACAUGGCUUGAACCCAGGGUCCUUGCUUGAAUUGGAGUUGGACCUUCUAUACUGUAGGGGCCUAUGGUCCUGAGUCGAUGCCAGAG
Molecule: non-coding RNA, 639 nt
Organism: Pelodiscus sinensis (Chinese soft-shelled turtle)
Lineage: Eukaryota; Metazoa; Chordata; Testudines; Trionychidae
Source: RefSeq, a predicted model, not a curated record